This 492-nucleotide ribosomal RNA is filed under the name uncultured bacterium. Its description in RNAcentral is "partial 16S ribosomal RNA". It matches the Rfam family "Bacterial small subunit ribosomal RNA", at positions 29 to 507 of the family's 1533-position model. The record is from RNAcentral.
AGUGAACGCUGGCGGUAGGCCUAACACAUGCAAGUCGAACGGCAGCACAGUAAGAGCUUGCUCUUACGGGUGGCGAGUGGCGGACGGGUGAGGAAUACAUCGGAAUCUACUUUUUCGUGGGGGAUAACGUAGGGAAACUUACGCUAAUACCGCAUACGACCUACGGGUGAAAGCAGGGGAUCUUCGGACCUUGCGCGAUUGAAUGAGCCGAUGUCGGAUUAGCUAGUUGGCGGGGUAAAGGCCCACCAAGGCGACGAUCCGUAGCUGGUCUGAGAGGAUGAUCAGCCACACUGGAGCUGAGACACGGUCCAGACUCCUACGGGAGGCAGAAGUGGGGAAUAUUGGACGAUGGGCGCAAGCCUGAUCCAGCCAUACCGCGUGGGUGAAGAAGGCCUUCGGGUUGUAAAGCCCUUUUGUUGGGAAAGAAAAGCAGCAGGUUAAUACCCCGCUGUUCUGACGGUACCCAAAGAAUAAGCACCGGCUAACUUCGUG